CAUGCAAGUCGAACGGGAUCCAUGCAGUAGCAAUACUGCGGAAGAUCUAGUGGCGAACGGGUGAGGAACACGUGAAGAACCUGCCCCGAACUCUGGGAUAACAGUUGGAAACGACUGCUAAUACCGGAUGCCGUUGUUGGAGUCACAUGGCUCUACAACGAAAGUUUUUCGGUUCGGGAGGGCUUCGCGGCCUAUCAGCUAGUUGGUGAGGUAACGGCUCACCAAGGCAUCGACGGGUAGCUGGUCUGAGAGGAUGAUCAGCCACACUGGGACUGAGACACGGCCCAGACUCCUACGGGAGGCAGCAGUGGGGAAUCUUGCGCAAUGGGCGAAAGCCUGACGCAGCAACGCCGCGUGCGGGAAGAAGGCUUUAGGGUUGUAAACCGCUUUCAGCAGGGAAGAAAAUGACGGUACCUGCAGAAGAAGGUGCGGCCAACUACGUGCCAGCAGCCGCGGUGACACGUAGGCACCAAGCGUUGUCCGGAUUUAUUGGGCGUAAAGAGCUCGUAGGCGGUUCAGUAAGUCGGGUGUGAAAACUCUGGGCUUAACCCAGAGCCGCCACCCGAUACUGCUGUGACUUGAGUCCGGUAGGGGAGCGGGGAAUUCCUGGUGUAGCGGUGAAAUGCGCAGAUAUCAGGAGGAACACCGGUGGCGAAGGCGCCGCUCUGGGCCGAGACUGACGCUGAGGAGCGAAAGCAUGGGUAGCAAACAGGAUUAGAUACCCUGGUAGUCCAUGCCGUAAACGUUGGGCACCAGGUGUGGGCAUCAACCAACGAUGUCCGCGCCGUCGCUAACGCAUUAAGUGCCCCGCCUGGGGAGUACGGUCGCAAGACUAAAACUCAAAGGAAUUGACGGGGGCUCGCACAAGCAGCGGAGCGUGUUGCUUAAUUCGAUGCUACGCG
RNAcentral lists this ribosomal RNA (902 nucleotides) under uncultured Actinomycetes bacterium. RNAcentral describes it as "bacterial SSU rRNA". It matches the Rfam family "Bacterial small subunit ribosomal RNA", at positions 54 to 963 of the family's 1533-position model. The record is from RNAcentral. Lineage: Bacteria; Bacillati; Actinomycetota; Actinomycetes.